AGUUUUGCUUGAAAUCUGUCACUGAUGCUGGGUAACAGCUAGUAGAGAAGCUGGAUUGAUGGCGGAUCGGUGGCUCAUAGAAAGCACAGCAUACAUCACUAAGGAGGAGACGUGCAUACACUACUCUAUUUGAAAAGGACAGCCAGAAGAUUGGAGAUUUUAACAACAGAUGAACAAGCCAGUAAAAAAUACUGAGAAGAACAGAAACCACAGAAAAGUAGAAAAGAAAGUCCCCCACCUCCUGCCAAAAGAAUAACCAAAGAUUGGCAUGGGAGCACACAACCCCAUUGUGAUCUCCAGGAUUCAUUCACUGGUGAUAUCUGCACAGCUACCAGCAUCACCAAGUCUUUGGACAUCCUGCCUCCUCAAUGAGACCUACCCUUGUCAGUCUGCAGCCACCCAUCCCAACAUCGGCUGCUUUCUCUGCUUUUCGGUUGCCCCAUAGCAUUGGUUCCCUUCUACCAUUAUAUAAAUAUUAUAUAAAUAUUAUUAUAUAAAUAUUUGUUUACUGUAUUUAUAUUUACUUUUACCUUCCCUGUUGGACCAUAAACUCCUUGAGAGCAGGAAACUAUUUUGCUCAUUGAUACAGCCCAAGCACCUA
Herpailurus yagouaroundi (jaguarundi) is the source of this 601-nucleotide long non-coding RNA. RefSeq lists it as uncharacterized. Lineage: Eukaryota; Metazoa; Chordata; Mammalia; Carnivora; Felidae. The transcript has 4 exons. The record is from RefSeq and is a predicted model, not a curated record.